Molecule: long non-coding RNA, 248 nt
Organism: Telopea speciosissima
Lineage: Eukaryota; Viridiplantae; Streptophyta; Magnoliopsida; Proteales; Proteaceae
Exons: 3
Source: RefSeq, a predicted model, not a curated record
AUGAUCAAUUACACGGUUUCAACUACGGAGGUAUCGAUUCCGACAGCAGCCUCUUUGGCCUCCAUCAUCUCCAACAGCUCAAUCUUGCUUACAGUGACUUCAGGCUCGCUCCAAUCCCAUCUGGUUUUGAUCGGCUUUCAAGCUUGACCCAUCUCAACCUCUCCAAUACGUGUUUCUACGGCCAAAUACCCUGGGAAUUCUCACGCCUAACAAGGUUGGUUUCUCUUGAUCUCUUCAUCCAAAAAGGU